UUAUGGGGAUGACGACUAUUCCUGAAACUUCUACGUUCUGUGGGAGGCUCCUACUCAUCACACUCCUCGGAGCUGGAUAGAGGAGACGGUGAGCACUCAGCUCAGGCUUUUCCUGGCUCCCUUUGCCUCCCAGUGAUCAUGCAGUGACAUUUCUUACCAUUAUUUUGGCACUGGCACCAUAGUGAUGGUUAGCUAAGAGAAAACCACCUCCCCUUUGGUGUCUGCCAAUGGUGUGAUGGAGCCAGCCCUUACCAGCUCACUGGAGCCCACUGCCUCAGCCCGCCUGAUUCAGCGACAACUGAAUUGAUCCAUGUCCCACCCAGAGUGGACAUUUCUCUCCCACCUAUCUACUCGGUAUUGCCCAAGUCUUCCAAGAGAGCAGGUGUCGGUUCAUAAACAAGCGUGCUCUAUCUGGAUGCCCAAUGAGAACGUCUCCCAGGGCUACUUGGGAAACCACUGAAGGGAGAGAGAGGCUCUUCGCGCUGAAGUGGCUGGAACUUUGGGGCCGUGGUGAAAAAACCCUCAGGACUGUGAAGCAAACGAAAGAAAAAAAAAAGGAAAGUCAUACAAGUCCUCCUAGCACCAUGGGAGUCCUGGGCUCCGCGCUAAGUUCCAUUAUUUCCAUAUCGUGAGUCAAUAAAGGCUUUUUUAAGGUCA
This is a non-coding RNA of Rattus norvegicus (Norway rat), 657 nucleotides long. The record is from RefSeq and is a predicted model, not a curated record. NCBI's taxonomy places the organism in Eukaryota, Metazoa, Chordata, Mammalia, Rodentia, Muridae.